GACGAACGCUGGCGGCGUGCCUAAUACAUGCAAGUCGAACGCAGUUGGGACGGGUGAGUAACACGUGGGUAACCUCCCAUCAGAGGGGAUAACACUUGGAAACAGGUGCUAAACCGAUACUGAUGGAUGGACCCUCGGUGGAUUAGCUAGUUGGUGGGGUAACGGCUCACCAAGGCCACGAUGCAUAGCCGGCCGGAGAGGGGGAUCGGCCACACUGGGACUGAGACACGGCCCAGACUCCUACGGGAGGCAGCAGUAGGGAAUCUUGGACAAUGGACGAAAGUCUGACCGAGCAACGCCGCGUGAGUGAAGAAGGUUUUCGGAUCGUAAAACUCUGUUGGUAGAGAGGCGGUAUCUAACCAGAAAGCCACGGCUAACUACGUGCCAGCAGCCGCGGUAAUAC
This 403-nucleotide ribosomal RNA is filed under the name uncultured bacterium. RNAcentral's name for it is "partial 16S ribosomal RNA". It matches the Rfam family "Bacterial small subunit ribosomal RNA", at positions 28 to 526 of the family's 1533-position model. The record is from RNAcentral.